CCAAUAGCGUAUAUUAAAGUUGUUGCAGUUAAAAAGCUCGUAGUUGAAUUUCGGGGUCGGUAGGUUGGUCAUGCCAUCGGUAUGCACUGGUCUCACCGAUUCCUCCCUCUUGUAGAAGCGUAAUGCCAUUAAUUUGGUGUUGCGGGGAAACAGGACUGUUACUUUGAAAAAAUUAGAGUGUUUAAAGCAGGCUAACGCCUGAAUACAUUAGCAUGGAAUAAUGAAAUAGGACGUCGAUCCUAUUUUGUUGGUUUCUAGGGUUGACGUAAUGAUUAAUAGGGAUAGUUGGGGGCAUUAGUAUUCAAUUGUCAGAGGUGAAAUUCUUGGAUUUAUUGAAGACUAACUACUGCGAAAGCAUUUGCCAAGGAUGUUUUCAUUAAUCAAGAACGAAAGUUAGGGGAUCGAAGACGAUCAGAUACCGUCGUAGUCUUAACCAUAAACUAUGCCGACUAGGGAUCGGAUGAUGUUAAUUUUUUAAUGACUCAUUCGGCGCCUUACG
This 499-nucleotide ribosomal RNA is filed under the name uncultured Glomeromycotina. RNAcentral describes it as "partial small subunit ribosomal RNA". It matches the Rfam family "Eukaryotic small subunit ribosomal RNA", at positions 591 to 1092 of the family's 1831-position model. The record is from RNAcentral. Lineage: Eukaryota; Fungi; Glomeromycota.